This 70-nucleotide transfer RNA is filed under the name Trigonopterus sp. 6 AH-2016. RNAcentral's name for it is "tRNA-Lys". The record is from RNAcentral. Lineage: Eukaryota; Metazoa; Arthropoda; Insecta; Coleoptera; Curculionidae.
CAUUAGAUAGCUGAAAGUUAGCUUAGGUCUCUUAAACCUCUUUAUAAUAGAUUAACACCUAUUUCUGAUG